Molecule: ribosomal RNA, 361 nt
Filed under: uncultured bacterium
Lineage: Bacteria
Description: bacterial SSU rRNA
Rfam family: Bacterial small subunit ribosomal RNA
Source: RNAcentral
GAUGAACGCUGGCGGCGUGCCUAAUACAUGCAAGUCGAACGCACAGCGAAAGGUGCUUGCACCUUUCAAGUGAGUGGCGAACGGGUGAGUAACACGUGGAUAACCUACCUCAAGGUUGGGGAUAACAUUUGGAAACAGAUGCUAAUACCGAAUAGAACUUCGUAUCGCAUGAUACAAGGUUAAAAGGCGCUACGGCGUCACCUAGAGAUGGAUCCGCGGUGCAUUAGUUAGUUGGUGGGUAAAGGCUACCAAGACAAUGAUGCAUAGCCGAGUUGAGAGACUGAUCGGCCACAUUGGGACUGAGACACGGCCCAAACUCCUACGGGAGGCUGCAGUAGGGAAUCUUCCACAAUGGGCGAAA